Alosa sapidissima (American shad) is the source of this 450-nucleotide long non-coding RNA. RefSeq lists it as uncharacterized. NCBI's taxonomy places the organism in Eukaryota, Metazoa, Chordata, Actinopteri, Clupeiformes, Clupeidae. The record is from RefSeq and is a predicted model, not a curated record. The transcript is spliced from 3 exons.
ACAUAUUAAGUGCAUUUGAAUUCAAGAAGGUCUGGGACCACCAACCAAUAAUAAACAGAAUCCGUGAAGGCUUUGGUGACCGAAUCCUAGCAGAUGUAAGCCUCCAGCUCUUAAUGCCGUGUGGCAAUAAACUGGUGCUCCCAAAGCUUCAGGGGGGCCAUGAGCUUACAGGUAUGCUCAUACACAAGGUUUACAGAACCAAGUCACUCUACGUAAGACCAUCAAGGGAACUGCUGUAGAACAGAAAAGGUCCCAGUGGAAGAAAUACUACAGGAAUUAUCAAGCAAAAUUUCCACAAAAGAGACAUGCAGGUUUAAUAUCAAUCGUUCUUCUGUCUGGGAUGGAGCAGUGCGAGGUUUCCAAAGGGCAUGACCCCAACUUGAGAACGUGAAAUUCUCUGAUGAUAUGGGGAAAAAUGAAGAAAGUGUUGAUUUAGGAGGGAAUUUUGAA